RNAcentral lists this long non-coding RNA (827 nucleotides) under Rattus norvegicus (Norway rat). RNAcentral's name for it is "long non-coding RNA NONRATT026013". The record is from RNAcentral. Lineage: Eukaryota; Metazoa; Chordata; Mammalia; Rodentia; Muridae.
GCUGUCCUUUGCGCUGCUUUUGCUCUGCAUCACUUCGCUCCCAGCGUUCUCUGCGUUCCGCCUACCGCGUCACUCCCGCCCUGCUUCGCACGCGUGAGGAGCUAAGUGCGGCUGCGCGAGUUGACCAGUGAGGAGGGCGUACUGUCUACUUCUUUUCUGUCGCUGACUUCCCGCAGAGUGAUGCGAGGGUUCUCGAAGCAUCCAGGACAGCUUGCAAGGAUGUCUAGGGCUCUUCAGCCCUCAGGACUCUGGAGGAGCUCUUUGUUCAGUAUCUAGCCACCUGUUCCUACAGACACGGCAGUGGCAAAGCCAAGAAAGCGCUGACAUACAGUGACUUAGCCAGCGCUGCCGAGGAUUCAGAGACACUUCAGUUUCUCGCAGAUAUAUUACCAAAGAAGAUUUUAGCUAGUAAGUACCUGAAAAUGCUCAAAGAGAAGAGGGAGGAAGAGGACGAUGAUGACGAUGGUAGCGACCUUGGUGAAGUGCCGGCUUAGGCCAGCAAGAAGAGCUCUCAGCGAGUCCCGUGAGCACACACAAGGACACACUAGCAGCUGCGAAGUGGAGGGACUGCAGCGUUGUCUCAGACUUGCAACUUGUUGCAUUCGCUCUUUCAGUGGGAAGGACUAGACAGCAGCCUCCUCCACAGGCCCUUCAGUCACCUCGUCUCCCACUAGGAGAGUCCUGGGCAGAUGGCACUGCUCUGGCUUUGGGUACAGCAGCACAUACCACUGAUCACACUGAACUUGCAGGAAGACCCAGGAAGCUCCAUGUCAGCUGCAUAGUCUUGUGGACAGACACUCUGUUCUCACAAACAGCUGCAUGCAUAC